CAGCCGCCGCGGUAAUACAGAGGGUGCGAGCGUUAAUCGGAUUUACUGGGCGUAAAGCGUGCGUAGGCGGCUUUUUAAGUCGGAUGUGAAAUCCCUGAGCUUAACUUAGGAAUUGCAUUCGAUACUGGGAAGCUAGAGUAUGGGAGAGGAUGGUAGAAUUCCAGGUGUAGCGGUGAAAUGCGUAGAGAUAUGGAGGAAUACCGAUGGCGAAGGCAGCCAUCUGGCCUAAUACUGACGCUGAGGUACGAAAGCAUGGGGAGCAAACAGGAUUAGAUACCCCGGUAGUCCCUGUCUCUUAUAC
This 301-nucleotide ribosomal RNA is filed under the name uncultured bacterium. Its description in RNAcentral is "partial 16S ribosomal RNA". It matches the Rfam family "Bacterial small subunit ribosomal RNA", at positions 509 to 807 of the family's 1533-position model. The record is from RNAcentral.